This is an RNA transcript of Molossus molossus (Pallas's mastiff bat), 3617 nucleotides long. It is a transcript of the gene named chromosome unknown C5orf24 homolog, with no coding region annotated. Lineage: Eukaryota; Metazoa; Chordata; Mammalia; Chiroptera; Molossidae. The record is from RefSeq and is a predicted model, not a curated record. The transcript is spliced from 3 exons.
AGGAACCUGAGCGGUGGCUGCGGCCCGAGCCGGGAGCCGGGAGCCGGGAGCCGGGUGCCACCUCGCCGUGGCCUCUCUAGCUGCCUGCCCCUCCCCUCUGUCUUGGGCUCUUCGUGCAGUGCAGAGGCAGCGGGCUGGGAAGGGAGCGUCGCCAGCGUGUGGUUCCCCGCCGAUGGGCAGCCCCUGGGCGCGCUGAGGGGCUGGGCUACUAGCGGCUGAGAAAAUGAUGCAUCCUGUUGCCAGCAGUAAUCCAGCUUUCUGUGGGCCUGGCAAGCCUUCCUGCCUCAAUGAAGAUGCCAUGAGAGCUGCUGAUCAGUUUGACAUAUAUUCCACCCAGCAAAGCAAAUAUAGCCAUGCAGUCAGCCACAAACCAAUGGCUUGUCAGAGGCAAGACCCAUUAAAUGAAACGCACUUGCAGACUACAAGUGGCAGAAGCAUAGAGAUAAAAGAUGAACUAAAGAAAAAGAAAAAUCUCAAUCGAUCUGGUAAGCGUGGCCGGCCUUCUGGAACCACCAAAUCUGCAGGAUACCGGACCAGCACAGGCAGACCCCUGGGAACCACCAAAGCAGCUGGAUUUAAGACAAGUCCAGGCAGACCUUUGGGUACAACCAAAGCUGCGGGAUACAAAGUCAGCCCAGGGAGACCUCCAGGUAGCAUUAAAGCUCUGUCCCGUCUUGCUGAUCUUGGUUAUGGCUGUGGCACUGCUGCUUUUCCUUACCCUAUGAUGCAUGGCAGAGCAGUUCAUGGGGUAGAGGAAACCAGCAGUGAAGUCAAGCCACCAAAUGAGUGAAUGAGGCAGGAAAGGAGGGCCAGGUUUGGAAGGAAGAUUGUGAAUAAUCCCAAAGCUUCUUGGUUUUAUUUUGACAUACAUGAUUUUAUGACCUGGGCUUUCCACAUUCGUUUUCCUGUUUGUUUGUUUUUCCUGCUUUUGCUCAGAAACUUCCAUAUGCUGACAGAUGCUCUCAGGGCAUAAGCAGUGGCAUUGAAUUUGUACAUAGGUUCAAGUGUAACACCUAACUAAGUCAUUUUUGCUUUUCCUUUAGAGUUAUGGUUGUGUCUCAGAUUCAUCACUACUUUUGGGCCAUUUUAAAUAGAUGCUUUAUGUACUAAACAACUGAAACUAUUAUACCCAUUAGUUUGUGAAGAAAGCCUACAAUAUAUUAAAGAUAAUAUCUAAGGUAUUUUUAACUGAUGGAACAAAGCAAACUAAUGAUUCAGGAUUAUUUGAAGUAUGGCUGUGAGUUUUUGUAACAUUUAUUUUCAUGAGACAGGACACAGAUAUUUGUGUACUUUGGCAUUUACAUAGACUUCAGAUGUUAAAAUUUUUAUUUUUAAUGUUCUAGGUUUAGGCAGCUUCUUAUUUAUUGAUCUAAAUGGCAUUAAUUGAUUUAACCAUUGUUCCUAAAGGAAUUAUUUACUGUUUGCCUUUCACCAAUGAUAGGUUGUGUAUUUUUUUAAUUGCCGAAGAGCAUAUAUACCAAACACUACAAACAAUUCAUAUUUACAGAAAAAUUAAACUUUUUAUAAAAACUGCACAUUACAUUUUUGGUGAAAUACAAUGCAUUCUGAGAAUAGCAUAUGUAAUAUAAUAGAAAAAGAAACAUUCUUAAGGUUUGCAUGGAACUAUAUUCACUACAUUUUGCCUUGUAUAGACUUAGUUUUAAAGCAUUAUGCUUAAAACAUUUAUUGUUGUUCAUUUAUUCAGAAUGUGUUUUUUUUUUUUUUCCUGAGAAAUUGUCUGUUGCAUUAGCACUUACUGUGGUUUCAGGUUUAUAUCUACCAAAGGACACAAACUGAGUGGUAGACUAUAAAACUGAUAAAAACAAAAUGCAGUUUUCUGACUGUCAGAACACAGAUAUUAAGAAAUAUAUAGGAGUCAUCUAUGCAUGAAACAUGUAAAAAAUAUGUUGGUUAGUUUAAUUAAACACCUAAUUGUGGCUCCAGUGAGACCACUUCACGCAAAAGAAAAUUUUUCCCAACAGUGUUUGCUUUAGAAGCAAGGUAGAUGGAAAAGAAAAAGUAUUGGGUAGAAAUGUAUUGUAGGGACAGAGGAAAUCUCUCUUGCCCCCUUUCUGAAAGUAAUAUUCUUUGUUAAUAUACAUUUUAUUUAUUCUGAGUUUGGUCUGAAUAAACUAUUAUAAACUUUGGAUUUGGAAAAAAAUUCCACUGAACUUUAAAGUUACAAUUUAUGUAUUUGUGGUUUUAAAUGCCUUUGAGAUUAUAAUGUAGGUUUGCAGGACCCAAAAACUUUUAAAGUAAUUAAAAGUUUAAAAAGGCACAUAUUGUGUUGUUUGGGCUUGCUCUCAGUUAAUACAAACUGAUUGCAAAUGGAUGUCAUGUUUCGUACCUUUUUUGUCAGGAAAAAAGCAGCAAGCCUUCAGGUGUUCCAGUGAUGCCUGACACAAUGAGCUGGACUUUAUGCUGCUCUUUACAGUUUCACUAUUCUAUAUUAAAACUGUUGGUCAGAAAAUGAUCUGCUGUUGAAGUAAGUUUGCUUUACUUUUUUCUUUUAAAAAAUAUUUUAACAUGCCUUAUUUAUUAUUCUUACCAUAUUAACCAAUGAGCUAAUGCAGAUGAAUUUUUCAUUUUUUGACAAAUAUAACCUUGCAUAACUAUUCUUUAGUAUGGGAUGAUUUUAAUACUAUCUUUGGAGUUUUGCACUGGAUAUUAAAAAAAUACCGGCACAUUGUGUUGGAAGAAAAGUAUCUGCUUAAUUUUUAAUAUUUGGGGACAUUUUUAAAAUCAGUGUUUCAAUUAGACUAAAAAAAUUCUUUAUAUUUUUUAUUUACUUUUUAAGAGAAGCAUCUGUUAAAGUAAUAAAAGUACUAUUCAUUCCAAACUGAUGUUUGUGUGAAUUCACAUGUAUAUUUUCAUGAAAUAAGAAUAGCGUUUGAGUGAAGGAGGAAAAAAUUAUCUGAAUCUUUUUAUUAGGUUAAAGGUAAUACAUCCAGUGUAAGGAAAACCAGUGUAUGAGCUAAAGAAAAAAACAAAAACAAAAUAACACCUUUUAUAUUCUAAGAAGCUUUAAAAGAACAAUUCAGGGGAUGUUGACUAUAACUGCUACUCUGUCAGUCAUUGUCUCUAUAUACGGUAAAAUUUUAUGAUCCCUUUAUAGUAAAAUAGAAGAAUUCACAGCAGUUGUUGAAAACAUUUUUUCCUUGGACAGAAAAUAUUUUGAUGCUGUUAGGUUUCUGUUUUUAUUAUAGCUUAACUAUGUCCUAUUAAACUCUAGGAUGUAUCUAAAUCUUUCCUUGGUUUUUCCUCCUUUACCCCCAAGUAGGUAAAUCUUUACUCUCACAUAUAAUGUAUUUAAUUUUUGGAAAAUUUAAUGCUAUAGUAAAUCAAGUGUGUGAUUUAUAGUAAUCAAACCACUUUGAUUCUUGAAGUUUCACAAUUUUCUUUUUCCACAGAUAAUUAUGGAGAAAAUAAUUACCAAUUAACUGAUAUAAGCACGCUGUCCUCUGCUGUCUGAAUAGAUACUGUGUAUGUUUUUAUGUCCAUGAACUUGAGCUACUCGUGUGCAAUUAUGUGUAUGGGAAUGGAGUAGUGUUCAUGAUUUGUAUCUACAUCAUCAUAUGGAUGUAUAUUUAUUAAUAAAGUCAUUACUUUAAAACCAA